RNAcentral lists this ribosomal RNA (561 nucleotides) under uncultured bacterium. RNAcentral describes it as "bacterial SSU rRNA". It matches the Rfam family "Bacterial small subunit ribosomal RNA", at positions 110 to 669 of the family's 1533-position model. The record is from RNAcentral.
GUAACACGGUAUCCAACCUACCGGUUAUUCCGGGAUAGCCUUUCGAAAGAAAGAUUAAUACCGGAUAGUAUAACGAGAAGGCAUCUUUUUGUUAUUAAAGAAUUUCGAUAACCGAUGGGGAUGCGUUCCAUUAGUUUGUUGGCGGGGUAACGGCCCACCAAGACAUCGAUGGAUAGGGGUUCUGAGAGGAAGGUCCCCCACAUUGGAACUGAGACACGGUCCAAACUCCUACGGGAGGCAGCAGUGAGGAAUAUUGGUCAAUGGACGAGAGUCUGAACCAGCCAAGUAGCGUGAAGGAUGACUGCCCUAUGGGUUGUAAACUUCUUUUAUAUGGGAAUAAAGUGAGCCACGUGUGGCUUUUUGUAUGUACCAUACGAAUAAGGAUCGGCUAACUCCGUGCCAGCAGCCGCGGUAAUACGGAGGAUCCGAGCGUUAUCCGGAUUUAUUGGGUUUAAAGGGAGCGUAGGCGGACUAUUAAGUCAGCUGUGAAAGUUUGCGGCUCAACCGUAAAAUUGCAGUUGAUACUGGUCGUCUUGAGUGCAGUAGAGGUAGGCGGAAUUC